Molecule: ribosomal RNA, 406 nt
Filed under: uncultured bacterium
Lineage: Bacteria
Description: partial 16S ribosomal RNA
Rfam family: Bacterial small subunit ribosomal RNA
Source: RNAcentral
AUUGAACGCUGGCGGCAGGCCUAACACAUGCAAGUCGAGCGAGCGGCGGACGGGUGAGAAAUGUCUGGGAAACUGCCCGAUGGAGGGGGAGAACUACUGGAAACGGUAGCUAAUACCGCAUACCAUCAGAGGUGCCCAGAUGGGAGUGGCUAGUGGGGGGGGUAAAGGCUCACCUAGGCGACGAUCCCUAGCUGGUCUGAGAGGAGGACCAGCCACACUGGGACUGAGACACGGUCCAGACUCCUACGGGAGGCAGCAGUGGGGAAUAUUGCACAAUGGGCGAAAGCCUGAUGCAGCCAUGCCGCGUGUAUGAAGAAGGCCUUCGGGUUGUAAAGUACUUUUAGCAGGGAAGCGUUACCUGCAGAAGAAGCACCGGCUAACUCCGUGCCAGCAGCCGCGGUAAUUC